This 253-nucleotide ribosomal RNA is filed under the name uncultured bacterium. RNAcentral describes it as "partial 16S ribosomal RNA". It matches the Rfam family "Bacterial small subunit ribosomal RNA", at positions 524 to 776 of the family's 1533-position model. The record is from RNAcentral.
UACAGAGACUGCAAGCGUUAUUCGGAUUCACUGGGCGUAAAGGGUGCGCAGGCGGCCAAGUGUGUUAGGCGUGAAAGCCUGGGGCUUAACCCCAGAAUUGCACCUAAAACUACAUGGCUAGAGCAUUGGAGAGGGUAGCGGAAUUCACGGUGUAGCAGUGAAAUGCGUAGAUAUCGGGAGGAACACCAGUGGCGAAGGCGACUACCUGGCCUGUUCUUGACGCUGAGGCGCGAAAGCUAGGGGAGCAAACGGG